AAUUGCUCGGGUUUACUUGGAGAAAUGGGCAGUGAGAUGUUUGAGCUGCUAUUCAAGGUGAUGGCUUCAGUUACCGGGUCAGCUCUUCUCUGCAAGGCAAAACUGAGACUUGGAAGCCAAGAAGUGCCCAAGGCCAUGUGAGGACCUCAUGCCAGAGUCAGUGUUAGGAUUUCACAGCAUGUGAGCCCUGGUCCCUUCAUCUGUCCCUCUGAGAAGUGCUUGAGUGAGUUGCCACAGCCCAGUCUGAUUUCUGCCUCGCUGGGAGCUCUGCGUGGAUGGUUGGGGGUGAGAGGAGCAGAGUGCUGACCUGGAAGAGCAAGCAUCACAUGUUUCGGUACAGUACCUGAGCUCUGAUCCAGCAGGGGAGAGCCAAGCUGA
This 378-nucleotide long non-coding RNA is filed under the name Gallus gallus (chicken). Its description in RNAcentral is "long non-coding RNA NONGGAT009266". Lineage: Eukaryota; Metazoa; Chordata; Aves; Galliformes; Phasianidae. The record is from RNAcentral.